Molecule: long non-coding RNA, 146 nt
Organism: Pyrgilauda ruficollis (rufous-necked snowfinch)
Lineage: Eukaryota; Metazoa; Chordata; Aves; Passeriformes; Passeridae
Exons: 3
Source: RefSeq, a predicted model, not a curated record
GGGACCCCCGGUAGGGGGGGAGGGGGGCGCGGUGGGAGAGCCGCCCCCCCCCGGGAUCUGGAUGAGGCCUGGGAAGGGCAGGCCACAGGAGGCGGAGGAUGUGCAGCCCCCACCCCCCGAGCACAGCACAGAGCCUGACCCUGCCC